Molecule: ribosomal RNA, 248 nt
Filed under: uncultured crenarchaeote
Lineage: Archaea; Thermoproteati; Thermoproteota
Description: partial 16S ribosomal RNA
Rfam family: Archaeal small subunit ribosomal RNA
Source: RNAcentral
AGCUCUCCGAGUGGUGUGGAUGUUUAUUGGGCCUAAAGCAUCCGUAGCUGGCUAGGUCAGUCCCUUGUUAAAUCCACCGAAUUAAUCGUUGGAUUGCGGGGGGAUACUGCUUGGCUAGGGGACGAGAGAGGCAGACGGUAUUUUCGGGGUAGGGGUGAAAUCCUAUAAUCCCGGGAAGACCACCAGUGGCGAAGGCUGUCUGCUAGAACGCGCCCGACGGUGAGGGAUGAAAGCUGGGGGAGCGAACC